CCUACGGGAGGCUGCAGUGGGGAAUAUUGGACAAUGGGGGGAACCCUGAUCCAGCCAUGCCGCGUGUGUGAAGAAGGCCCUCGGGUUGUAAAGCACUUUCAGUGAGGAAGAACGCCUGGUGGUUAAUACCCAUCAGGAAAGACAUCACUCACAGAAGAAGCACCGGCUAACUCCGUGCCAGCAGCCGCGGUAAUACGGAGGGUGCGAGCGUUAAUCGGAAUUACUGGGCGUAAAGCGCGCGUAGGUGGCUUGAUAAGCCGGUUGUGAAAGCCCCGGGCUCAACCUGGGAACGGCAUCCGGAACUGUCAAGCUAGAGUGCAGGAGAGGAAGGUAGAAUUCCCGGUGUAGCGGUGAAAUGCGUAGAGAUCGGGAGGAAUACCAGUGGCGAAGGCGGCCUUCUGGACUGACACUGACACUGAGGUGCGAGAGCGUGGGUAGCAAACAGGAUUAGAUAUCCCGGUAGUC
This 465-nucleotide ribosomal RNA is filed under the name Vreelandella stevensii. RNAcentral's name for it is "partial 16S ribosomal RNA". It matches the Rfam family "Bacterial small subunit ribosomal RNA", at positions 338 to 795 of the family's 1533-position model. The record is from RNAcentral. Lineage: Bacteria; Pseudomonadati; Pseudomonadota; Gammaproteobacteria; Oceanospirillales; Halomonadaceae.